GAUGAACGCUGGCGGCAUGCUUUACACAUGCAAGUCGGACGGGAAGUGGUGUUUCCCGUGGCGGACGGGUGAGUAACGCGUAAGAACCUGCCCUUGGGAGGGGAACAACAGCUGGAAACGGCUGCUAAUACCCCGUAGGCUGAGGAGCGAAAGGAGGAAUCCGCCCAAGGAGGGGCUCGCGUCUGAUUAGCUAGUUGGUGAGGUAAUAGCUUACCAAGGCCGUGAUCAGUAGCUGGUCCGAGAGGAUGAUCAGCCACACUGGGACUGAGACAAGGACCAGACUCCUACGGGAGGCAGCAGUGGGGAAUGUUCCGCAAUGGGCGAAAGCCUGACGGAGCAAUGCCGCGUGGAGGUAAAAGGCCUACGGGUCAUGAACUUCUUUUCCUGGAGAAGAAACAAUGACGGUAGCUGGGGAAUAAGCAUCGGCUAACUCUGUG
RNAcentral lists this ribosomal RNA (437 nucleotides) under uncultured bacterium. RNAcentral describes it as "partial 16S ribosomal RNA". It matches the Rfam family "Bacterial small subunit ribosomal RNA", at positions 28 to 507 of the family's 1533-position model. The record is from RNAcentral.